GUGUAGGUUUGUUACGUAGGUAAACAUGUGUCAUGGUGGUUUGCCGCACCUACCAACACAUCACCUAGGUGUGAAGCCCAGCAUGCGUUAGCUAUUUAUCCUGAGGCUCUCCUCCCCCGAUUCCCACCCCUGACAGGCUCCAGUGUGUGUUGCUCCCCUCCCUAUGUUCAUGUGUUCAGUAAAUCCAAAAAUAAAAGUGAGGAGGUGAAGAAAAAGCAGUGAAAACACUUAACAUGCCUUAAGCAUAAAAUAAAUCAGACUUUCACGCCAAUGCCCCAAAUUUCAGAAAACCAAAUACCAU
RNAcentral lists this long non-coding RNA (301 nucleotides) under Pan troglodytes (chimpanzee). RNAcentral describes it as "long non-coding RNA NONPTRT002038". Lineage: Eukaryota; Metazoa; Chordata; Mammalia; Primates; Hominidae. The record is from RNAcentral.